AUGGCAUAUUUGCAGCAGAAUGGCAUCCAGAAAUCAUUGUAAUUGUGCCAGUAUUUCAUGCGCUUAUUUAAGAGUAUUUUCUGUUCAAGGAUUUCAAAACACUUCUCUAAUGGUACGGAGAAAAGUCAACAUGGUAGAGAAGUAGGGGGACUCAAAUUUCCCUUGUCUCUCAAACACAGCAAUGUUGAGGCCAGAAGACUUGGAAUUCCAGGAAUGUGGACUACAAAUGACAGAAACAUCUCCAGGGGCCAUGUGGACAACUUGGCAGGCCAUAGCAAGCUGGGGCAAGUUCAUCUAACACCUCCUUUGAAGACCAGCAGAUGUUUCAUAAAGGGUCUAUACGUGGGAGGUCUAAGUACAGAGCUUGACUGUGAACUUUCAUCAAGUACCCAGGGUGUAUUGCAGAAAGACAAUAGAAGAUUGAGAAUGAUUAAUCACCAACUGAAAGGGAAGUAUGAAAGCUAAAGGGACUCACUGGCAGCAUAUCAAGAGACUUGAGCCUGACGCAGGAAAACUGAGGCUUCCUUCCAGGAUUUAUUAUUAUUAUUUUUUUAACGUUUAUUCAUUCUUGAGAGAUGCAGAGAGACAGAGCAUGAGUCUGGGGAGGGGCAGAGAGAGAGGGAGACACAGAAUCAGAAGCAGUCUCCAGGCUCUGAGAUGUCAACACAGAGCCUGAUGCGGGGCUCGAACUCAUGAACCGUGAGAUCAUGACCUGAGCCAAAAUCAGACACCCAACUGAUUGAGCCACCCAGGUUCCCUUCCAGGAUUUAAUUUUAAGAGCAGAAUUCCAGAGAAGGUUGACUUGUCAGCCUUAGCUAAUCUGCUAUGCAAAGGUUGG
This 838-nucleotide long non-coding RNA is filed under the name Felis catus (domestic cat). RNAcentral's name for it is "lncRNA (ENSFCAG00000046085.2)". The record is from RNAcentral. Lineage: Eukaryota; Metazoa; Chordata; Mammalia; Carnivora; Felidae.